CCUACGGGGUGCUGCAGUGGGGAAUAUUGGACAAUGGGCGAAAGCCUGAUCCAGCCAUGCCGCGUGUGUGAAGAAGGCCUUCGGGUUGUAAAGCACUUUCAGUGGGGAAGAAAGCCUUGGGGCUAAUACCCUCGAGGAAGGACAUCACCCACAGAAGAAGCACCGGCUAACUCCGUGCCAGCAGCCGCGGUAAUACGGAGGGUGCGAGCGUUAAUCGGAAUUACUGGGCGUAAAGCGCGCGUAGGCGGUCUGAUAAGCCGGUUGUGAAAGCCCCGGGCUCAACCUGGGAACGGCAUCCGGAACUGACAGGCUAGAGUGCAGGAGAGGAAGGUAGAAUUCCCGGUGUAGCGGUGAAAUGCGUAGAGAUCGGGAGGAAUACCAGUGGCGAAGGCGGCCUUCUGGACUGACACUGACGCUGAGGUGCGAAAGCGUGGGUAGCAAACAGGAUUAGAUACCCCGGUAGUC
This 465-nucleotide ribosomal RNA is filed under the name Vreelandella stevensii. RNAcentral's name for it is "partial 16S ribosomal RNA". It matches the Rfam family "Bacterial small subunit ribosomal RNA", at positions 338 to 795 of the family's 1533-position model. Lineage: Bacteria; Pseudomonadati; Pseudomonadota; Gammaproteobacteria; Oceanospirillales; Halomonadaceae. The record is from RNAcentral.